GUGGGGAAUCUUGCGCAAUGGGCGAAAGCCUGACGCAGCCAUGCCGCGUGAAUGAUGAAGGUCUUAGGAUUGUAAAAUUCUUUCACCGGGGACGAUAAUGACGGUACCCGGAGAAGAAGCUCCGGCUAACUUCGUGCCAGCAGCCGCGGUAAUACGAAGGGGGCUAGCGUUGCUCGGAAUUACUGGGCGUAAAGGGCGCGUAGGCGGACAGCUUAGUCAGAGGUUAAAGCCCAGGGCUCAACCUUGGAAUUGCCUUUGAUACUGGCUGUCUUGAGUUUGGGAGAGGUGAGUGGAACUCCGAGUGUAGAGGUGAAAUUCGUAGAUAUUCGGAAGAACACCAGUGGCGAAGGCGACUCACUGGCCCAAUACUGACGCUGAGGCGCGAAAGCGUGGGGAGCAAACAGGAUUAGAUACCCUUGUAGUCC
Molecule: ribosomal RNA, 425 nt
Filed under: uncultured bacterium
Lineage: Bacteria
Description: partial 16S ribosomal RNA
Rfam family: Bacterial small subunit ribosomal RNA
Source: RNAcentral